Molecule: transfer RNA, 83 nt
Filed under: Prochlorothrix hollandica PCC 9006 = CALU 1027
Lineage: Bacteria; Bacillati; Cyanobacteriota; Cyanophyceae; Prochlorotrichales; Prochlorotrichaceae
Also listed under: 2 other names
Description: Prochlorothrix hollandica PCC 9006 tRNA
Rfam family: tRNA
About the family: Transfer RNA (tRNA) molecules are approximately 80 nucleotides in length. Their secondary structure includes four short double-helical elements and three loops (D, anti-codon, and T loops).
Source: Rfam by way of RNAcentral
GCGGAUGUGGCGGAAUUGGUAGACGCGCUAGAUUUAGGUUCUAGUACUCUCGUAGUGUGAAGGUUCAAGUCCUUUCAUCCGCA